UGGCUCGAUUGCCCGAGUUCGGAGCCAUCGCAUGUGUACCAGCGAUCAGCGGCAAUACAUGUACACAUGUCACACAGCUCCGACGGAAGACCUCUCGUUGCUUUGCAACGAGCUUUGCUCUAGUUAGAUUUAAUUUUUGUGCAUUGAGACUCUUUUAUCUGUCAUGAAGUUUUCAUUGAAUUACAGCCGCUGUGAACCCUAUCGUAAAAUGUUCCAAUGGGGAUCGUUAUAACAAUAUAAAUGUAAGCACACUGAAAACUGUUGCAGAUGACAUGUGCCUGUGUGACUGUGAAUACGCAAAGAAAAUUGAGUUUUGGAACAAUAAAAUUAACCAGCUUCGACAGUACCUAGAACUAAAUCAGAAGCUGACCCAAAUAAACCGUCAUCUAAGCAUGGAUUUUAAGAAUCUGUCAUCGGCCUCUAACAAAAGGAUCAGUGCUAAUGACGAGCGACCAUCUGCCGCUGCUGUGGGCUAUAUUGGAGCUACCGUCUUGGCUUUGGUUAUUGGUGGAAUAGUUGUGUUAGACUUUCUAAUCAUAACUCGCCAGAUCCGCCUACUUUGGAGAGCCACCUGUAGAUAAAGUACACUAGAGUGGAGAUGUACAAACAGUCCGACUAGAAGAGCUACACUCCAUUGUAUAUCAACUUGCCAUGAUAUAUAACCUGUUUUAACAUUUUAACGUUGUUAUCUAUGUGAGAAAACAUGAACUUUCAAAUCCCCGAUCAGUAACGGUAACAAAACGCUUGUCUUUAUUACUUUUCAGAGUUUUGCAAUGUCAACAUGUUCAAUAUGCCAGUGGUUAAUUUAUAUGAAUUACUAUUAUUGUUAAUAAUGUAUUAAACGAGUAUGAUUUAUUCGUACGUGUGACAAAUCAUU
Molecule: long non-coding RNA, 877 nt
Organism: Ostrea edulis (European flat oyster)
Lineage: Eukaryota; Metazoa; Mollusca; Bivalvia; Ostreida; Ostreidae
Exons: 3
Source: RefSeq, a predicted model, not a curated record